This is a non-coding RNA of Lolium perenne, 1562 nucleotides long. Lineage: Eukaryota; Viridiplantae; Streptophyta; Magnoliopsida; Poales; Poaceae. The record is from RefSeq and is a predicted model, not a curated record.
UCGGUUUCUGAAUUGAAACCCAGUCGAGUCUGCGAAUAGGAUAUGGAUUGAAAGAAGUCGUUAUCUACUUAAUCCUCUGGAAAAUCCAUAGCGUUUUAUCCUGUAAUCUAACUCUAGAAGAACAUCACACAGGCCCACCUCGAUCCAGACUCCAGAGUAAUGGAGUUGUCGGCUUCCAUCGCCCACGCCACGCCGCAGGCGCGGCUGCUCCGGCCGACGGCCGAUCGUCGCCGGCUCGGGUCGCCCCUUCAAAGGCACAAUUUCUCUGCCUCUUCAGGAUAUAUGUCCUGUAGGAGCUUUGCUUUACUAAGCAAAGCGACGAAGGAGGUACCUUCAGUCAGCGCGAGCUUUCGACACACAUUUCUUCAACCGGUUGUUCCAGCUACACAGAAGAACAAACACGAUGUUACAUGCUACCAGAGACAAGGAUCUCCACGGAUUGAAGCCAAGUCAAUGGAGGAAGUCUAUGAUGCUUUGGCUGAGCACCUUCUUUCCGUGUUGAAGAAUGUUGAUCAUCUUGAUUCAAAUCUGAACAGAUACAUUGUUGGUCUAGCUGGCCCACCUGGUGCAGGCAAGUCUACUGUUGCCUCUGAAGUUGUCCGACGUGUCAAUGCGCGGUGGUCUCAGAAGCAUUCAAAAGACAGUUCACUAAAUUCAAAUGAAGACAUUGCAACAAUGCUUCCCAUGGACGGAUUCCACCUUUACCGUUCUCAGCUUGAUGCAAUGGAGGAUCCAAAAGAAGCACAUGCUAGAAGAGGAGCACCAUGGACAUUCAAUCCAUGUCUUUUUCUGAAAUGCCUACAGACCCUGAGAAAAGAGGGGUCAGUUUAUGCUCCAUCAUUUGAUCAUGGUGUUGGUGACCCAGUUGAAAAUGACAUAGUUGUAAAGCCAGAGCACAAAAUAGUGAUAGUCGAAGGAAAUUAUUUAUUAUUGGAAGACAAUAUUUGGAGGGAGAUUAGAGACUUUUUUGAUGAGAAAUGGUUCAUUGACAUUGACAUUGAUGUAUCCAUGCAAAGAGUGCUCCAGAGACAUAUCGGCACAGGAAAAGAGCCAGAUGUAGCAGCAUGGCGGAUUGCAUACAAUGACCGGCCGAAUGCUGAGCUUAUCAUGGAGUCAAGAAAGGCUGCAGAUCUUGUAAUCAGAUCGGUGGACUUCUCAUCCUAGACUCCCAUGUUUCUGAUUUGGAUUUCCAGUAAUAAUAAGUUCUGAUGGUGGUCCUCUAUGCCAAAAGAUUCGACCCAUUUAAUCAGUGUUCCUUUUUGUGAAAGGGGCAAAUAAGCAAAAACAGAAAUCCUGAUUCGGAGGGGAAAAUCAAUUUCUAGAACAUAAAAAUUAGCUGAUGGCACUGAAAUAAAAAAAUCCAGUUUAACUACAAUACAUUUUAAGUUCCAAACUGUCACAUGUAAUAAACAUGAGAGGGUGUACUAAAAUCCGGGAAUAGGAUUAUACUCCCUCCGUCCCGGUUCAUAGGGCUUACACGUAUUCCUAGAUUGUAAAUUUAGUCAAAAUAAUACAUGAUAUAUAUUACAAGGUAUAUAUCACUAGAAAGCUUAGAUGUUCUA